This is a long non-coding RNA of Lingula anatina, 630 nucleotides long. The record is from RefSeq and is a predicted model, not a curated record. NCBI's taxonomy places the organism in Eukaryota, Metazoa, Brachiopoda, Lingulata, Lingulida, Lingulidae.
UUCACAUUCGAGUCUGUAUUGGAGAACGUCCUCUCCCCAAAAAAAGAGAAGACGUCUACCGCAAGGUUUUAGCCAAUCAGAGUGCGUUGCCUAAAAUAGCACUCGUACACUAGGAGAAACAAAUAUGGCGCGGUGGAGUUCGAAAUCGAGAGUAGGCCUAUUGUUGAUGAGGCAAGCAGUCAGAGCAGUCCAGAACUAGAGGGUAAAGAGCUACCUGAGCAUACUAUCUUGUGAUUUCAGCCUCAUUAGAAAAAAAACCCUGUAUAAAGGUUUAGUAGAGUUGGCAGUGACACAUAGCACUUCCAGGUCCAGUACUAAAGAGGAGGAAGAGGUGUGAGAUCAGGAGGAUUGACUCAAGAACAUGAAUGGAGAAUUCAGUAACUCACAGAAGAGAGCAUACAUGAUGGUGUUGCCAAGAAAAUGAUGGUGUUGCCAAGGAAAGUGCUGAAUACAUUGUGACAAGUGUGAUGGAAAUCCUGGCCUUGCACUGGAUAUAAAGAUGCUUUUGCUAGAGAAUUUACCAGGCAAUGACUCAGCAUCAGUGGAGAUGGGACUGGCCCAUCUCCCACUCACUGUAAUGUCCCCUACAUUUUGACUGCCGUUGAAUUUGCUGGAUUACUUCACUUUGAA